Molecule: ribosomal RNA, 237 nt
Filed under: uncultured bacterium
Lineage: Bacteria
Description: partial 16S ribosomal RNA
Rfam family: Bacterial small subunit ribosomal RNA
Source: RNAcentral
UGAGUAACCUGCCCUUCACUCUGGGAUAACUCCGGGGAAACCGGGGCUAAUACUGGAUAUGACUCGAACAGGCAUCUGUAUCGGGUGGAAAGUAUUUAUCGGUGGAGGAUGGACUCGCGGCCUAUCAGCUUGUUGGUGAGGUAAUGGCUCACCAAGGCGACGACGGGUAGCCGGCCUGAGAGGGUCGACCGGCCACACUGGGACUGAGACACGGCCCAGACCUCCGUACGGGGAGCA